This 253-nucleotide ribosomal RNA is filed under the name uncultured bacterium. RNAcentral's name for it is "partial 16S ribosomal RNA". It matches the Rfam family "Bacterial small subunit ribosomal RNA", at positions 524 to 776 of the family's 1533-position model. The record is from RNAcentral.
UACGGAGGGAGCUAGCGUUGUUCGGAAUUACUGGGCGUAAAGCGCACGUAGGCGGCUACUCAAGUCGGGGGUGAAAGCCCGGGGCUCAACCCCGGAACUGCCUUCGAAACUAGGUAGCUAGAAUCUUGGAGAGGCGAGUGGAAUUCCGAGUGUAGAGGUGAAAUUCGUAGAUAUUCGGAAGAACACCAGUGGCGAAGGCGGCUCACUGGCCCGGUACUGACGCUGAGGUGCGAAAGCGUGGGGAGCAAACAGG